This 90-nucleotide transfer RNA is filed under the name Myxococcota bacterium. RNAcentral describes it as "tRNA-Ser". It matches the Rfam family "tRNA". Rfam says of the family: Transfer RNA (tRNA) molecules are approximately 80 nucleotides in length. Their secondary structure includes four short double-helical elements and three loops (D, anti-codon, and T loops). The record is from RNAcentral. Lineage: Bacteria; Pseudomonadati; Myxococcota.
GGAGAGGUGGCCGAGUGGCUGAAGGCACAGGUUUGCUAAAUCUGCGUACGGGAAACCGUACCGAGGGUUCGAAUCCCUCCCUCUCCGCCA